GGGUGAGUAACGCGUGAGUAACCUGCCCUUAGGAAAGGGAUAGCGUCUGGAAACGGACGGUAAUACCAUAUAAAGUAUAUUAACGGCAUCGUAGAUAUACCAAAGCUGAGGCGCCUAAGGAUGGACUCGCGUCUGAUUAGAUAGUUGGUGGGGUAACGGCCUACCAAGUCGACGAUCAGUAGCCGGACUGAGAGGUUGAACGGCCACAUUGGGACUGAGACACGGCCCAGACUCCUACGGGAGGCAGCAGUGGGGAAUAUUGCACAAUGGGCGAAAGCCUGAUGCAGCAACGCCGCGUGAAGGAAGACGGUUUUCGGAUUGUAAACCUCUGUUCUUAGUGAAGAAUAAUGACGGUAACUAAGGAGCAAGCCACGGCUAACUACGUGCCAGCAGCCGCGGUAAUACGUAGGUGGCAAGCGUUGUCCGGAAUUACUGGGUGUAAAGGGAGCGUAGGCGGGAAGCCAAGUCAGCUGUGAAAACUACGGGCUUAACCUGUAGACUGCAGUUGAAACUGGCUUUCUUGAGUGAAGUAGAGGUUGGCGGAAUUCCGAGUGUAGCGGUGAAAUGCGUAGAUAUUCGGAGGAACACCGGUGGCGAAGGCGGCCAACUGGGCUUUAACUGACGCUGAGGCUCGAAAGUGUGGGGAGCAAACAGGAUUAGAUACCCUGGUAGUCCACACUGUAAACGAUG
This 690-nucleotide ribosomal RNA is filed under the name uncultured bacterium. RNAcentral describes it as "bacterial SSU rRNA". It matches the Rfam family "Bacterial small subunit ribosomal RNA", at positions 104 to 811 of the family's 1533-position model. The record is from RNAcentral.